This 485-nucleotide ribosomal RNA is filed under the name uncultured bacterium. RNAcentral's name for it is "bacterial SSU rRNA". It matches the Rfam family "Bacterial small subunit ribosomal RNA", at positions 28 to 507 of the family's 1533-position model. The record is from RNAcentral.
GAUGAACGCUAGCGGGAGGCUUAACACAUGCAAGUCGAGGGGCAGCACGGGUAGCAAUACCUGGUGGCGACCGGCAGACGGGUGAGUAACGCGUAUGUAACCUACCCUGUACAGGGGGAUAACCCGGAGAAAUUCGGACUAAUAUCCCAUAGAAAUAUUGGAAGGCAUCUUUUGAUAUUUAAAGUUCCGGCGGUACGGGAUGGGCAUGCGUAACAUUAGCUAGUUGGUAAGGUAACGGCUUACCAAGGCUUUGAUGUUUAGGGGUCCUGAGAGGGUGAUCCCCCACACUGGUACUGAGACACGGACCAGACUCCUACGGGAGGCAGCAGUGAGGAAUAUUGGUCAAUGGGCGCAAGCCUGAACCAGCCAUCCCGCGUGCAGGAAGACGGCCCUAUGGGUUGUAAACUGCUUUUCCAGGGGGAGAAACUUGCGCACGUGUUGCGCAAUUGACGGUACCCUGGGAAUAAGCAUCGGCUAACUCCGUG